RNA transcript from Brachypodium distachyon (stiff brome), 1644 nucleotides. It is a transcript of the gene named optic atrophy 3 protein homolog, with no coding region annotated. The record is from RefSeq and is a predicted model, not a curated record. Lineage: Eukaryota; Viridiplantae; Streptophyta; Magnoliopsida; Poales; Poaceae. The transcript is spliced from 4 exons.
UCAGAGGAGGAGAAGAUGAUCCUUCCGUUUGCGAAGCUCGGGACGCUGGCGCUGAAGACGAUGGCUAAGCCAAUCGCGAUCAGACUCAAGACGGAGGCCAGCCGCCACCCACAGUUCCGCCAAUUCAUCAUCAACCUCGCCCAGGUGCCCUGCUCGCUAUUUCCCUCCCUUCCUGCCACCAUUUAAUCUCCCCGUUCACCUCGGCGCACAAUUUUUAGAGAAAACUCUCGUCGCACACUUCAAAAUCAUCUGAUGUAUGUAGGUUGUGCCUGUGCGGGGUAAAGAGAUGAUAUUUGUCCCCUCUAGGGUUUGUGGCUGGGCUGUGCAGUCGCCUGUCUUUCCUUGAAGUUAGUUCUGUGGCGUCAAUUCAGUUCAUUUUAGCUGGCUUCUUUUUGGUUCGUUUUCAUGUCUUGGGUUGCAGGAAUGGUGGUUAGGAUAUGCCAUUAUGCAAAAUGCGGGCAACAGUUACUGAUGAAGAACACGGCCAUUUACUCUUUUGGGUGUUUAUAGCUCAAAAUACUUUAUUGGCCAAAAUAUAUGUUUCGUGAAAAGAAAAGAACAUAGACAUUAUACAACAUUUCCUUUCUGUAAAGAAAUUUGGAAGCUCAAACUUCACCGAUAGUUAAUGAUCUGACUACCAUACAUUAGCUUCUGAUGAUUAAUUUCCUAUUCACGGUAACCACAAGAACACAGAAGUUUCUCUAACAGUAGGCCAGUAAGCUACAUUUCGUGCUGAUGUACAUGAUAGUGGAUAUCUUCAGACUCAAAACAUCAUUUAUUGAUGAGGUUUGAGUGGUAGUUCACUCAAGUUUCAAGAAACUCGGUUGGGAUUUAAUGUUUCUUGCCAUAUAAACUAAUCCGGAAUUUUUUAUUCUUGAACUUUUUGCAUGGCAACCGACCAAUUACUGCCUUGUUAGUGGAAACCAGUCGGCAGCAAGGAAACAGUACCAAUGUGGAACUUUGAUUAUUGACAAAUCACCGCAUUUCCACGAAUAUCCAAAGAAGAAUAUAUGGGCAUUCAACCAAUGUUGAGAUUCGGCCUUUGAAUGAGGAGAAAGCUGUUCAAGCAGCUGCCGAUCUUAUAGGGGAGCUCUUUGUUUUCUCGGUUGCUGGGGCUGCUGUAAUCUUUGAGGUGCAAAGAAGUGCAAGGUCAGAGGCCCGAAAAGAGGAGGCUCGUAAAAAGGAAGUUGAGGAAUUGAGGAAAAAGGAGGAUCAACUGGCUCUAGAAAUAGAGACUUUGAAGCUAAAGCUUAGUGAGUUAGAGCACCUCGCCAACUCACGAGGCCUCUCUGGAGUUGUUUUCAGGAGCAGCAGUAUGACAGACCAAAAGGUGUCAUCACCAGUUUUAUUUUAGUUGAAGCAAUUAUCUCACAUCGUUGGCAGAAUUCUAACCAAGCACACCGAGUAUCAUCGAAUGUUGUCUGUAAUAUUUUGCAUGCGCCUGCGCUGAAACUUUAGAAGUGCCCAUCCUGCUGCCUAUCUUGUUCCAGCUGGUCAAACGGGCGUGUUGUAUCUGAGGCUAUGUUUACUAAUUUCAGAAAAAGCCUUGUGUAUCUGUCUUAUGUUGUAUGAUAAGAGUUCCAUGAAGAAAAGAUUGAUGAUUGGAAAGCUAAAUUAUGCAAAGUUAUCUGGCAUAGUUUAUUA